GCAACUAAAAGACCCAAAAGGAGGCAAGCCCAGAGAUGAGUGAAAUUGCUCUUAGGGUAGGUACAUCAUCUUCAACCACGAAAAGUGCGUGAUGAAGAACUUCAUUCUGAACCAUAAUCUAACAUCCCCCCACAAGCUAAGCGUGGGGUUGAGACAUGAUUAGCUUGGAAAAAAGAUAUUGGAUGUGAUGUACUCAGAGAGGCUUUGUGAGAAGGUCCGCAAGUUGGUCAAUUGAAGGCAUGUGGAAUCAUGAUCCUGAUUAAAAGGAUGCUGAGCAAAUGUAUGAGAAUUAUGCUGAUGUUGAUCCUGAGUGGAUGCUAUAUCACAAACGUAAUAUGAUAGGUGAGAUGGUUUUCUUCUCACUCUAAUAUGCAAAUUAUUAUUCUCUUUAGGUAUGGACUAUGUACUAUUCUAUGCAGGAGUAGCAUUAUGAUGUAUGUCAUGUGUUUGUGUCUCUAAGUGUGUAUUGGUGUUAUUGUUUUUAAAAAGAAAUACCUCUUCUUGAAAA
Molecule: long non-coding RNA, 508 nt
Organism: Tripterygium wilfordii
Lineage: Eukaryota; Viridiplantae; Streptophyta; Magnoliopsida; Celastrales; Celastraceae
Exons: 2
Source: RefSeq, a predicted model, not a curated record